This 663-nucleotide ribosomal RNA is filed under the name Triticum aestivum (bread wheat). RNAcentral describes it as "partial small subunit ribosomal RNA". Lineage: Eukaryota; Viridiplantae; Streptophyta; Magnoliopsida; Poales; Poaceae. The record is from RNAcentral.
AUGGCCGUUGAGCUGCAGCGCGUCCCGAUGGUGGGUGAGAUCGAGAGCGAGAAGGAGGGAUUCGGCAGCCUCGACCUCUGCGACCGCACGGCCAUGUACGGGAGGCAUGGGCGCUCGCUGGAGCCAGUGGCCGCCGCCAAGAACCUGUGGAAGUGGGUGAAAGCCAAGCUCAUGAAGAACAAAACCUACAGCUUGGCCCCGCCGUCGCCGCCGACCAGUGAAGACCAUAUCUCCAUCCGCGUCUCCUCCGACCGCGGCAUCCCCGAGGACGGCAACAACAACGAAGUCACUCUCAACAUAGACUCAGAGUCCGUAGAGGUGCCUGAUGAUGAGCCAACGAGCGUGCCCACGAUUUUGUUUCCAGCAAACCUCGCCGUGGCACUGUGGAUGAUGGCCUUGCUCACCCUAAGCAUGGUCAUAGGCACAGUGCUCUACAAGCCUGCCAGGGGAGGCGUCUUUGGCAACAACAAAAGCAUCUACUACCUCACCCUCGCCAGCAUCUUCUUAUUUGGAGUCGCAGAGGCAUUCACAGCUUACUGUGUGUCCCGCUCCCGUGACGCUAACAAGCGUCGUUUCUCCUUUGGGAGGGUAGUUCUCUGUGCCUCAGUCGGGCCAUUCGUUGCCAUUGUCGGAAUCGGUGGUUUUACUUUCAUCAAGGGCUAA